AGUGAACGCUGGCGGUAGGCCUAACACAUGCAAGUCGAACGGCAGCACAGUAAGUGCUUGCUCUUACGAGUGGCGUGUGGCGGAUGGGUGAGGCAUACAUCGGACUCUACUUUUUCUUGGGGGAUAGCGUAGGGCAACUUACGCUCAUACCGCAUACGACCUACGGCUGAAAGCAGUGGAUCUUCUGCCUUUUCGCGAUUGAAUGAGCCGAUGUCGGAGUAGCUAGUUGGCGUGGUACAGGCCCACCAAGGCCACGAUCCUUAGCGGGUCUGAUAGGAUGAUCCGCCACAGUGAGACUGAGACACGGCCCAUACCCCUACGGGAGGCAGCAGUUGGGAAUAUUGGGCAAUGGGCGCAAACCUGAUCCAGCCAGACCGCGUGGGUAAAGAAGGCCUUCGGGUUGUAAAGCCCUCUUGUUGGGAAAGAAAAGCGGCAGGUUAACCCCCCGCUGUACUGACGGUAGCCAAAGAAUAAGCACCGGCUAACUUCGUG
Molecule: ribosomal RNA, 492 nt
Filed under: uncultured bacterium
Lineage: Bacteria
Description: partial 16S ribosomal RNA
Rfam family: Bacterial small subunit ribosomal RNA
Source: RNAcentral